Molecule: ribosomal RNA, 1242 nt
Filed under: Klebsiella pneumoniae
Lineage: Bacteria; Pseudomonadati; Pseudomonadota; Gammaproteobacteria; Enterobacterales; Enterobacteriaceae
Description: bacterial LSU rRNA
Rfam family: Bacterial large subunit ribosomal RNA
Source: RNAcentral
GCAAAUGGUGCCGUAAGUUCGGGAGAAGGCACGCUGGUGUGUAGGUGAGUCCCUGCGGAUGGAGCUGAGACCAGUCGAAGAUACCAGCUGGCUGCAACUGUUUAUUAAAAACACAGCACUGUGCAAACACGAAAGUGGACGUAUACGGUGUGACGCCUGCCCGGUGCCGGAAGGUUAAUUGAUGGGGUUAUCCGUAAGGAGAAGCUCUUGAUCGAAGCCCCGGUAAACGGCGGCCGUAACUAUAACGGUCCUAAGGUAGCGAAAUUCCUUGUCGGGUAAGUUCCGACCUGCACGAAUGGCGUAAUGAUGGCCAGGCUGUCUCCACCCGAGACUCAGUGAAAUUGAACUCGCUGUGAAGAUGCAGUGUACCCGCGGCAAGACGGAAAGACCCCGUGAACCUUUACUAUAGCUUGACACUGAACAUUGAGCCUUGAUGUGUAGGAUAGGUGGGAGGCUUUGAAGCGUGGACGCCAGUCUGCGUGGAGCCAACCUUGAAAUACCACCCUUUAAUGUUUGAUGUUCUAACGUUGGCCCCUUACCGGGGUUGCGGACAGUGUCUGGUGGGUAGUUUGACUGGGGCGGUCUCCUCCCAAAGCGUAACGGAGGAGCACGAAGGUUAGCUAAUCCUGGUCGGACAUCAGGAGGUUAGUGCAAUGGCAUAAGCUAGCUUGACUGCGAGCGUGACGGCGCGAGCAGGUGCGAAAGCAGGUCAUAGUGAUCCGGUGGUUCUGAAUGGAAGGGCCAUCGCUCAACGGAUAAAAGGUACUCCGGGGAUAACAGGCUGAUACCGCCCAAGAGUUCAUAUCGACGGCGGUGUUUGGCACCUCGAUGUCGGCUCAUCACAUCCUGGGGCUGAAGUAGGUCCCAAGGGUAUGGCUGUUCGCCAUUUAAAGUGGUACGCGAGCUGGGUUUAGAACGUCGUGAGACAGUUCGGUCCCUAUCUGCCGUGGGCGCUGGAGAAUUGAGGGGGGCUGCUCCUAGUACGAGAGGACCGGAGUGGACGCAUCACUGGUGUUCGGGUUGUCAUGCCAAUGGCACUGCCCGGUAGCUAAAUGCGGAAGAGAUAAGUGCUGAAAGCAUCUAAGCACGAAACUUGCCCCGAGAUGAGUUCUCCCUGAGACUUUAAGUCUCCUGAAGGAACGUUGAAGACGACGACGUUGAUAGGCCGGGUGUGUAAGCGCAGCGAUGCGUUGAGCUAACCGGUACUAAUGAACCGUGAGGCUUAACCUUACAACGCCGAAG